GUUUGACCGUCAGCCUCACAGUUCUCAGCUUCGCCUGAAUGGAGUUUGCACCUUCUCCCCACGCCUGCUUGACGGUGUACCCCGCUUCUUGCCUGAAGAUAGCUGGGGUAGGCUCCGGCGCUCCCGCGACCCUUGUGAGGAUAAGUGUCUCAGAAACUGUAUGGAUGGAGGUUGAAGACGUACUGAGUCACACUCCAGAGCAAUAAGUGGCGGUAAUCCCCCUUCAUAAAACACUGAAAAAAAGACGAAUCGGAAGCUGUGCCGUAAAGGAUCAUGGGUAAUACAUCUCUUUUUACUUAUGGCCAUGCGGCAAGAGGUUCGAUCUUGCUUCACGCACGUGGCGUGACGUCACUUCAGGGGCGUGGUUAACUGCCGUGUACGGAGGGGUCAAUUCCCACAUGGGCAGUGACAGUGAGACCUGGAAGGGCGUGAUUGGGAAGAACGCCCCCCCUCCAUCAUCAGACAUCUGAUUCAGAUGCCUCCUGGACGCCACCCUGGUGAGGUGUUCCGGGCAUGUCCCACCUGAAAGAGACCCAGAGGACAACCCAGGACACACUGGAGAGACUGUCUCUCAGCUGGCUUGGGAAAGCCUCGGGAUCAUUCGGAAGAGCUGGAGUAAGUGGCUGGGGAAAGGGAAGUCUGGGUACCCCUGCUGAAGCUUCUUGCCCAGCGACCCGACCCGGAUAAGCGGUAGAUAAUGGAUGGAUGGAUAGGUGGCAUUCUCAACUAGAUAAACAAGAUAAUAUUGUAUACAAACCUUUUAUUAUUUGAUAUUUAGUGACAGUUGUGCAAAAUGUGAACAAACAAAACCGGUGAUUGCACCCCAAACAAGUAGUAUCACAAGGAAAUAUAUCUGGCUAUUGACAAGUGCUGGCAAGCUCAUGUUCUGAUGUGUGUUUUUAAUUGUAAAAAAAUACUACGUAGUAUUAAAACAAGAAGUUGAGUAUUACAUACUCGUCACUCACGAUGGUUUCAAACUAAUAAUUUUAAUUCUCUUACUCACCAAUGUGAUUGUCUACUUCCUAUCCAGAAAACAUAAAACUUAAAACAUAAUUUUAAAAUGAGACCAAAAAUUUCAUGUAUACAUUCGGAAUAGCUACACCAUUUUUAUUUGUCAUUCCAUGGCCCAAAAAAAUAAAUAAAAAAAAAUCAUAAAUGCUCACCACUCAGUGUUUCCAACGCAAAGUAUGUUUUGUUCCCUGGGUCUGACUGCUGCCAGGGCUGGAUCGGCACCUUCAUGGCCAGCUGCUUCAUCUGCAUUUGAACUUGUGUUCUGUCAAACUUGAUCAAUUUGAUA
Syngnathoides biaculeatus (alligator pipefish) is the source of this 1297-nucleotide long non-coding RNA. RefSeq lists it as uncharacterized. The transcript is spliced from 3 exons. The record is from RefSeq and is a predicted model, not a curated record. NCBI's taxonomy places the organism in Eukaryota, Metazoa, Chordata, Actinopteri, Syngnathiformes, Syngnathidae.